This 228-nucleotide ribosomal RNA is filed under the name uncultured bacterium. Its description in RNAcentral is "partial 16S ribosomal RNA". It matches the Rfam family "Bacterial small subunit ribosomal RNA", at positions 568 to 795 of the family's 1533-position model. The record is from RNAcentral.
UGCGCAGGCGGAAUAUUAAGUCAGUGGUGAAAGCCUACAGCUCAACUGUAGAACUGCCAUUGAUACUGAUCUUCUUGAGUAUAGUUGUAGUGGGCGGAAUAUAUCAUGUAGCGGUGAAAUGCUUAGAUAUGAUAUAGAACACCGAUCGCGAAGGCAGCUCACUAAACUAUAACUGACGCUCAGGCACGAAAGCGUGGGGAGCAAACAGGAUUAGAUACCCUGGUAGUC